AAUAGCGGAAAACACAACUCGAGUCUGUAGUUUCAUUCAACUUAGUAGUAUAAAGUUAUCGAAAAGCAAUGGAGAGUGGCUUUGGAAACAUUCAGUAAAGAAGAGCCUCUUGCAACGCAAAAUAAAUUGAUUGGGUUGUCUUGCAGAUUCUUAGAUUCAGAGGACAGUAUUUGUAUGACGCGAAAGGCAAUUCGUAUUUGGACUGUAUCAGCAACGUUCAGCACGCGGCAAAGGACACGAUCCAAAGCCCUUUGAACAUAACAGUACAACAUAAUCAACACAACAGUGCCUCCUAGUGAGGCCAAUGAUCUCGUAUUACACUUGGAACCCAACAUGAAGACAUUGUGUUUGACCAGUAAGGUUUCUCAAAUAUCACACGUUAAACACAUACUGUUCUGCUACCUUUUCAAAUAGAUUCUCUCUUUAAAAGUACACCUUCCCUCUUUUUCCCUAUCCUCUUCCAUAUCAUGAGCACCUGACUUCGCUUAUCAAUAUGUCCAUACAAGUUCUGGAAACUGACAGAACAGAAAGAGUGGCUUUACAUGGUGUGCAAGAGGAUACAUAUUGCAUGCCUCUGUUCUUUGGUGAGUGUGCUAUAACAAACAGAUACUGGCAUUACACUCCACUUCAUUCUUACAGGCCCCUGUAGCAGACACCUGUAGAGGUGUGUAGACAACCAACCCAGCCCAGACAUAUGCAGAUACUGUGGAGGACGUGAUAGACCAGGUGCACCAACAAGGUCGCAAGCUACAGCAAAUACAGUAGUGCGUGGACGAGAACAGAAGUCUACAUUUGGACACAGAGCAGUGUGUAAUGCUGAUAGUGUAGUAACAGUGGAACAAUGCUUAUUAGUUGUGUUAUAAAUCUAUGAGUAUACUCUCUCAAUAUGGACAUGAACCACAGGUUUCACCGUUUUUCAUUAAGUCGUUGCCCAGUCAUCUUCUUGCCCAAACGAUACUCAACUAAAGUAACAGAGUUGGUACUGCCUCGGAGCAUACGCUAUCAGUGUAUUACUAUACUGCACCAUUCUCAUCAGCGAAGACUAGGUCCAAUAGCCAAAUCCUCACGAGUUAGGAUCAAGGUCAUUGUGCAUAAUAAAUGCUCUGUUGGUAUCUCUCUACAGAUAUGUGUGCUCUGCAAGGGGAGUGUUUGUGGCAUACGAGGUGAAGACAGGUUUUGGGCGUGUGGGGAGUCACUUUUGAGCGUUUCAGCUUCAGGGUGAUGACUUCUGCCCUGACAUAAAGACCAAGGUGAUGGGUAAUGGGAAUCCCCUGGCAUGUAUGGUAACCAUAGUGGAGAUAGCUGGGGCCUUCACAGCCAACAAAGUGGAGUACUUUCACACAGUGAGAGACAAGUAGUUGCUGUUAUUACCCAUUUAAUUUUUUUUUGCCAUAAUUUAACUUGGCAAGUCAGUUAAGAACAAAUUCUUAUUUACAAUGAUGACCUACCCUGGCCAAACCCUAACGACCCUGGGCCAAUUGUGCACCGCCCUAUAGAAUUCCCAAUCACAGCCGGUUGUGAUACAGCCUGGAAUCUAACCAGGGUCUGUAGUGACACCUCUAGCACUGAGAUGCAGUGUCUUAGACCGCUGCACCACUCAGGAGCCCCUAUAUAUAUUCUUAGGAAAUAAGGUGUAGUGCACAAAAGUUAAUAUUGUACAUUGGUUUACUGCACUGCAUCUGUGUACACAACCAAUAAACCCUGAUAUGUGCAACUCAAAUUAGGAGUCUCAUCCCAAACAUGAUUUGUGGCUUUCCGGUGACUGCAGUUUGGCAGACACCCAGCGUCAGUGAAUGUGAUUGA
Long non-coding RNA from Oncorhynchus masou masou (cherry salmon), 1803 nucleotides. RefSeq lists it as uncharacterized. Lineage: Eukaryota; Metazoa; Chordata; Actinopteri; Salmoniformes; Salmonidae. The transcript has 4 exons. The record is from RefSeq and is a predicted model, not a curated record.